RNAcentral lists this ribosomal RNA (700 nucleotides) under uncultured bacterium. RNAcentral describes it as "bacterial SSU rRNA". It matches the Rfam family "Bacterial small subunit ribosomal RNA", at positions 96 to 794 of the family's 1533-position model. The record is from RNAcentral.
CGGCGCACGGGUGCGUAACGCGUAUGCAACCUACCUUUUACAGGAGUAUAGCCCAGAGAAAUUUGGAUUAAUCCUCCAUAAUAUCUUAAUCAUGCAUGUGAUAAAGAUUAAAGCUUCGGUGGUAAAAGAUGGGCAUGCGUUUUAUUAGCUAGUAGGUGAGGUAACGGCUCACCUAGGCCACGAUAAAUAGGGGCCCUGAGAGGGGGAUCCCCCACACUGGUACUGAGACACGGACCAGACUCCUACGGGAGGCAGCAGUGAGGAAUAUUGGACAAUGGACGAAAGUCUGAUCCAGCCAUGCCGCGUGCAGGAUGACGGCCCUAUGGGUUGUAAACUGCUUUUAUGCAGGAAGAAACACUCCCACGUGUGGGGGCUUGACGGUACUGUAUGAAUAAGGAUCGGCUAACUCCGUGCCAGCAGCCGCGGUAAUACGGAGGAUCCAAGCGUUAUCCGGAAUUAUUGGGUUUAAAGGGUCCGCAGGCGGUCUAUUAAGUCAGAGGUGAAAUCUUGCAGCUCAACUGUAAAAUUGCCUUUGAUACUGGUAGACUUGAGUCAUUGUGAAGUGGUUAGAAUGUGUAGUGUAGCGGUGAAAUGCAUAGAUAUUACACAGAAUACCAAUUGCGAAGGCAGAUCACUAACAAUGUACUGACGCUCAUGGACGAAAGCGUGGGGAGCGAACAGGAUUAGAUACCCUGGUAGU